CCGAGUUAUACAACUCAUCAACCCUGUGAACAUACCUUAAACGUUGCCUCGGCGGGAACAGACGGCCCCUGUAACAACGGGCCGCCCCCCCGCCAGAGGACCCCCUAACUCUGUUUCUAUAAUGUUUUCUUCUGAGGUAAACAAGCAAAUAAAUUA
RNAcentral lists this unclassified non-coding RNA (156 nucleotides) under soil metagenome. RNAcentral describes it as "partial internal transcribed spacer 1". The record is from RNAcentral.